This 257-nucleotide ribosomal RNA is filed under the name uncultured Actinomycetes bacterium. RNAcentral describes it as "uncultured actinobacterium partial 16S ribosomal RNA". It matches the Rfam family "Bacterial small subunit ribosomal RNA", at positions 28 to 276 of the family's 1533-position model. The record is from RNAcentral. Lineage: Bacteria; Bacillati; Actinomycetota; Actinomycetes.
GACGAACGCUGGCGGCGUGCCUAAUGCAUGCAAGUCGAGCGACGAAUAGGUGCGGGUAACCAAGCCUAUUACGGAGCGGCGAACGGGUGAGUAACACGUGAGCAACCUGCCCCGAAGACCGGGAUAGCCCAGGGAAACUUGGAUUAAUACCGGAUACCCUCCUUUGACCACAUGGUCGUUUGAGGAAAUGCUUUUACGCUUCGGGAUGGGCUCGCGGCCUAUCAGCUUGUUGGUGGGGUAACGGCCUACCAAGGCGU